GCAUAUCAUAUUGAAAUACCGACUCCUGUGCGAUCACCAAAGUUAAGCAACAUCGAACCAAAUCAGUACCUAGAUGGGUGACCGUUGGGGAAUGCCAGGUGCUGUAAG
Molecule: non-coding RNA, 108 nt
Organism: Acanthosepion pharaonis
Lineage: Eukaryota; Metazoa; Mollusca; Cephalopoda; Sepiida; Sepiidae
Source: the annotation of a GenBank genome assembly